RNAcentral lists this ribosomal RNA (292 nucleotides) under uncultured bacterium. RNAcentral's name for it is "partial 16S ribosomal RNA". It matches the Rfam family "Bacterial small subunit ribosomal RNA", at positions 505 to 796 of the family's 1533-position model. The record is from RNAcentral.
GUGCCAGCAGCCGCGGUAAUACGAGGGGGGCAAGUGUUGUUCGGAAUCACUGGGCGUAAAGGGAGCGUAGGCGGAUGUUUAAGUUGGAUGUUUAAAACCGGGGCCUAACCUCGGAGCGGCAUCCAAAACUGGGCAUCUUGAAUAGGUCAGAGGCUGGUGGAAUUGGAGGUGUAGCGGUGGAAUGCGUAGAGAUCUCCAAGAACACCUAUUGCGAAGGCAGCCAGCUGGGACCAUAUUGACGCUGAGGCUCGAAAGCAUGGGGAGCAAACAGGAUUAGAAACCCUGGUAGUCC